GGUUGUCACGUGGGGCCGGGUCACCGCUCGCGGUUGGUCGAGCCACGCGCGUGCACGGCGGCGGGAGAGUCCCCGCCCUCACCCGCCGCCAUUUUGUGGUGACUGAGGGGAGGCGGGGAAAUGGCGGCAGGGGGCUGAACCCUGAGCGUGUGGCUCUGAUCCAACUUUAUGCGAGGGACAGGGGACAGCCUCUAAUGUAGAACUACCAGAUCUCGAUAAAUGGGCGAAAAAUAGAAUCACAGAAUGGUUUGAGUUGGAAUGAACCUUAAAGAUCAUCUUGUUCUAGCCCAUGGGCAGAGACACCUUUCACUAACCCAGGAAAUGAAUUUUGUCGCUUCAGUAAAUGAAAGGGAUGCUGCCACCUCAGUGUUGCAAGGAAACAAAUUUUUUCAUAGCUUUUCUGCAUAUUUUUGUGCUAAGGGAGGAUAGAAAACCAGGAUCUUCAUGCUCACCAACAUAAGACAUUUAUAAGAGCAGACUGAAAGAACUUCAAGAAGUGUGGCUUAAUUGGAUUUUAUUUAGAAAGUCUGUUUUGGAAAAGAGUCACUGCGAACGGUAAGGAAUAAUUAUUCCAGAUUACAUUGGGAGGCAGUCUAUUAAAGCAGAAGACACAAAAGCAAGAUUAAAGAGGAGUUUUUAAAAUAUUUAAAGUAUCAAAUGAAAUUAUUCACAUAAAGUGGAACUAAGUAAAAAGAUAGGUUUAAUUUCCGGGAAUGAUUUCAUUUAUAAAUUGCAAAACUGUAAUAUGAAUGAAUUUGCACUAGGUGAACUUGUGAGGUUUGCAAUGCUGGCCUCUCCUUAUGGAAGCAAAAUCAGCACUUUAUUCAGAUAUCUGCUUGUUCUGGCAUUGUUGUGGCAUCUACUAAAAAAAUCUUGUAUAGAUUUCAGUCUUCUUCUUCAGAAGGAGUUGCUCUAGAGCUGAAGAAAUUUGUGUGAACACUCAUAUCUGUUCUCCUUCAAAGCAUAAACUGAUACAAAGAAUGCUAGUCCAGGUGUGCGAGAAAGCUAUGCAGGAAGAGUUUAGAGUAACAGAUUCAGCUGGCAUCGAUUGGUUUUUGUCAGAGAAAUGAAAGAUAAUAUCUUCCAAAAUGUUAGAAAUAUGAGAUACAAUAGUUAUAAUGAGGAUAAUCAGGUAGCAGGGCAGAUUAUUACAGGAGAUGGUAAAUGCUGUACUGGCUGCCUUUGUAAAAAGAGUGUGUAACUCACAAAUCGUGGGACUCACAGUCACUGGGUGAAAUUCCCUGCCCUAUGUCAUGGGUAGGGUCAGAAUGGGUGAUUACAGUGGUAUCUUUUAAAUCUAUGAAUCUUUUUAACAUACAUCUUUUUAUAUCUACAGUCCUUAGUUCCUGUAAAAACCCGCUGUUACUAUAAUUGCUUAGAUUGCCAGAUUCUUCAUCUUCAACAAUGUAUUACAUUUUACUGCUUGUGA
Molecule: long non-coding RNA, 1429 nt
Filed under: Manacus vitellinus (golden-collared manakin)
Lineage: Eukaryota; Metazoa; Chordata; Aves; Passeriformes; Pipridae
Description: lncRNA (ENSMVIG00005018864.1)
Source: RNAcentral